RNAcentral lists this ribosomal RNA (213 nucleotides) under uncultured fungus. Its description in RNAcentral is "partial small subunit ribosomal RNA". The stretch from base 86 to 213 matches the Rfam family "Eukaryotic small subunit ribosomal RNA", at positions 734 to 864 of the family's 1831-position model. The record is from RNAcentral. Lineage: Eukaryota; Fungi.
GAGGAGAGUUCCCGGUCUAGGUUCGCCUUGUACUGGGUAACUCGAAUCUUUUUUCUGGGGAAGCAGGGUGUCCUUCACUGGGCGCUCUGGGGAACCAGGACGAUUACCUUGAGAAAAAUAGAGUGUUCAAAGCAGGCUUUUGCUUGAAUACGUUAGCAUGGAAUAAUAAAAUAGGACUUUGGUUCUAUUUUGUUGGUUUUGAGGACCAAUGUC